This 484-nucleotide ribosomal RNA is filed under the name uncultured bacterium. RNAcentral describes it as "partial 16S ribosomal RNA". It matches the Rfam family "Bacterial small subunit ribosomal RNA", at positions 28 to 507 of the family's 1533-position model. The record is from RNAcentral.
GUUGAACGCUGGCGGCAGGCCUAACUCAUGCAAGUCGAGCGGAUGAAGGGAGCUUGCUCCUGGAUUCAGCGGCGGACGGGUGAGUAAUGCCUAGGAAUCUGCCUGGUAGUGGGGGAUAACGUCCGGAAACGGGCGCUAAUACCGCAUACGUCCUGAGGGAGAAAGUGGGGGAUCUUCGGACCUCACGCUAUCAGAUGAGCCUAGGUCGGAUUAGCUAGUUGGUGGGGUAAAGGCCUACCAAGGCGACGAUCCGUAACUGGUCUGAGAGGAUGAUCAGUCACACUGGAACUGAGACACGGUCCAGACUCCUACGGGAGGCAGCAGUGGGGAAUAUUGGACAAUGGGCGAAAGCCUGAUCCAGCCAUGCCGCGUGUGUGAAGAAGGUCUUCGGAUUGUAAAGCACUUUAAGUUGGGAGGAAGGGCAGUAAGUUAAUACCUUGCUGUUUUGACGUUACCAACAGAAUAAGCACCGGCUAACUUCGUG